This is a non-coding RNA of Kogia breviceps (pygmy sperm whale), 1750 nucleotides long. The record is from RefSeq and is a predicted model, not a curated record. Lineage: Eukaryota; Metazoa; Chordata; Mammalia; Artiodactyla; Physeteridae.
AAGACUAAAAAGGAUUUUGGCAGUCCAUACAAUGGGGGAAGCCAAACAAUGUCACAGAAGAGGUAUCAGUGGAAACAGAAGCCAACUCCAAAGAAGAUUGAGUUAGAUCUCAAAUUCCUGGACAGCCCAGCCGCAUCCGGUAUCACAAAGCCUUCUGCUUUGUUCCCCCUCUGACAUAUCUCUGGAAUCCACCCCAUCUUCUCCCAGAUUCACGGCACACUGCUGGGCGGGUCCCCACCUGUUCCCUAUCCCCUCCAACACCUGGACCACCUGUAGCAGCCUCUCAGCUGACACCCACUCUGCAAAUGAAAUGAGCCACAGGAGGAACAGCUAAUGUCAACAAACUGCCAUCAAAAUAUGCGCAUGCCACAAACCAACUGAUGGGAGAAGCAUCUUUACCGAAACUAUCCAUCCUUCCUUCUCAUUAAUAGUUCAAAUCAUACACAAGAAAGCAACCUUGUCCUUCACUGCAUUUCCUUCUCUGGGCGAUUUUGACAACGUUCCAAAUAUUCAAGAAUGAUGAUCUCCGUGAAACAGAUACUAAAGUAUGAGACCUUAACAGAAAGCACUUCUCUUAUUAGCAAUCAACUAACGUUUCAAAUGUGAAUUUAGAAAUAACACUGAAACAUCCUUUAAAUUGCCUGGGCAGGAGGACCAGCAUUCAUUAUAUACAUAAAUUCAUUAUAAAGAUACACUCAAAGAUUUACCUAAUAAAUCCCUGCUCCAAAACUGGGAGGAUAUUUUUCUAAAACUGCAAGUUUAAGUUUUCCAUAAAGAGCCACACACAAAGGAAUAGCUCAAUUAAAUUCCCAGCUCUUUUUAAAAACAUGAUUUGAUUAGCUUGGAAGCUACAUCUAAUUCUAAGAUGUGCCAGAGGCACAUACGUGGAAACAUAAUCAUAGCGUCAAGGCAGCUGAUAAAAUAAAUAAAGGCUAUGGAAGGCAAAAUAUUAUACUGAAUUAUUAUGCUACAAAUGUAACCAAAAGGUUGGUAUUUGAUAUGUCACAAUGAAUAUCCCUAAAAACAUUCAGAAUGUCCUCCAAAGACAAACUGGGUGAUGUGCAUUAAGGCAGAGCUUGCUGAUUACCCCCAGGAUCAAUCCUUCAAUUUCUAGGAAAGGGAAAAGAACCUCAAUUCUUUGCUAAACCAAAAGAACUACAUUGUCCACUUCCCUUCCACGUAAAUGUGGUCAUUUGGCCAAUGAGAGGCAGGCAGAAGUACUGUUAAGGUUUCUCCCGAUAAGCAUCUUUGACUUAUUUGUUCCCCCCCCCCCGCCCCGAGGUUUAUUGAGGUAUAAUUGACAUAAAAUUGAAAGAUAUUUAAAGUGUACUUCAUGGUGAUUUUAUAUAUGUAUACAUUGUAAAAGGAUUCCCCACAUGUAAUUAACACUUCCAUCACCUCACAAAUUUAUCUUUUUUAGGACAACAAUUAAGGUCUAUUCUUUAGUAAAUUUCAAUUAUAUAAUACAGUUAUCAGAAUGUUUACAUUAGAUCCCCAGACCUUAUGUAUUUUAUAGCUCAAAGUGUGUACUGUUUUACAAACCUCUCCCUAUUUCUUGUAUCCCCCUCAGCCCCCGACAACCACUUUUCUACUGUUUCUAUGAGUUUGACUUUUUUUUUUAGACUCCGCAUAUGUUACCAUGCAGUAUUUGUCUUUCUCUGUCUGGCUUAUCUCACUCAGCAUAAUACCCUCAAGGUCCAUCCAUGUUGCAAAUGGAAGGAUUUCCUUCUUUCUCAUGGUUGAUAAUAUU